This is a long non-coding RNA of Sebastes umbrosus (honeycomb rockfish), 2714 nucleotides long. RefSeq lists it as uncharacterized. The record is from RefSeq and is a predicted model, not a curated record. NCBI's taxonomy places the organism in Eukaryota, Metazoa, Chordata, Actinopteri, Perciformes, Sebastidae. The transcript has 2 exons.
UCCUAGUUUAGUAAAAAUUUCACUGGGCAUAUGAAACCAAAACCUUUUUUCAUGUUUUAGAAAUGAUCUUAAUAGUUUCAUUAAUGUAUUCAAUAUCAAUAGCCUUAAGUCCACCUUCCUCAUAUUCUUUAACCAUAGUGCCUUUCUUAAUAUAGUGUGUUUUCCUUUUCCAGAUAUAACUGAAAUUAGCUUGGUUUAUGGCUUUUAUUGCAUUUUUGGGAAGUGAUAAGGAGUAAGCUGGGUAGAUGAAUCGGGAAAUGCACUCCAUUUCUGUAAGAAGAAUUCGGCCGAUGAUAGAGAUGUCUCUUUGAGACCAGGAAUUUAGAUGAGAUUUACAUAAUUUAAAUAUUACUUAUAUUACAGCAAGAACAUAAUCAGAUGUAUUGUUAGAAGGUGGCUGCAGUAGAAGAAGAAAGUUUAAGUUAAAUGACUGUGAAGUCAGACUAAAUCGAUUCAUAAUGCUGUCAGCGAAGCAUUCAGACUGAAAUAAAACGACAAUCACGUCUUUUAUCAGUUUUAUUUCAGUCAAAUAUUGACCCUCAGAUACUGAGGUGAAAGUCUUAAAGUCACAGUCUGAUCAUCUGCUGUUCACUUCAUACUCUAAUACACAGUCAGAGUACUAAUACUACAGUGCAGAAAUACUACAAGUCCUGCUUUCCAGUAAAAGUACAGAAGUAUUAGCAUCAAAAUCAACCUAAAGUAUGAAAAGUUCUGGCCCUCAUUAUGCAGAUGUCAGAGUGAUGUUCUUUAUAGACCUUUCAACCAGAGUUACAGACGGCUCUACUGUAAAAACAAAGAAUAAAAGUCAAUAAUAAUCCAGAAACAAAAAGAUAUAUAAAAUAAGAUAAAAUCAUUUAAACAAUUCUAGCAAAUACCCUCAGUUAAGAAAUAAGAUAAGAUAAGAAACUACUUUAUUUAUCCUGAUACAAUGAUCGUUAUAGCUUGUGGGAAUAAUUAUAAACAAUAAUAAUAAAAAACAACAAGUAGUAAUUAUACUACUUCUUCUACUAUUAUUAUUAAUAAUAAUAAUAAUAAUAAUAAUAAUAAAAAACAAUAAAAUAUAAUAAAUUAAUUAAAUUUAAAAGUGGUAAAGCUCUAGACUUUAGGGGCUCCACACAACACAAAGUGUGAAACAGUGCAAAUAAAACAAAAUAUAAAAAAUAAAUCAUAUAAAAUAAUAAAAUAAUAAUAAUAAUAAUAAUAAUUAAUUAAUUAAAAUCAGAUAAAGCAAAAUAUAAAUAAUAAAAUAUAAACUGUGAAAUAUAAACAAUAAAAUAAAGAUAAGAAAUAAUGAGGUCUACUGUUAACCCUAACCCUAAACAGCUGUAGUUAGACACAAUCAUUAUGAUUAAAAUCAUAAUCACACUGCCCUCCUGUGGACAAAGAGCAUAACUACAUCUCUUGCUCUUUUAUUUUGAAAGAUGUAACCGGAAGUGUGUCUUGUAUGUAACCACUGGCGUGUUCAGGGAGUGGCCUUGGGUGGCACAGGCCACCCCUGAAAUCUGAUUGGCCACCCUAAUAUCUUACAAUAUGAUUGGCUAUAUGCCCAGUCAGAGGCGGGCCACGGCACUGAAUGUAAACUGCACUCUUGUUUAGAGUUGCAGUUCCUUCUCAAACCUGAGAGGCAGAGAUGCGCUAAAGUAGUAUGUAGCCUGCAAAAAAAAAAAGGCGCGAAGAAGAAGAAGUUUGAGCAGGUGAACCUCCAGGUGAACCAAACUGUUUUUCUACAGUCAGUCUAUGGAAGCAACACGUCUCUGGAGCGUCGUCGUGAAAGAUGUGAGUAGCCUACAUUUUACUACACUUACUGUGCCUGUAGUUAAACGCUGUAACGGUAAUAAACUAAACAUUACCCUGUCUUGUUUUAUUUCUUUUUAUUGUAAUAGGCACAAGGCUGUCAAAACAGAUUGGGUCUCUUGAAUGGUAAUACUAGGUAAUACUAGAGUAACCAACACUGUAGCACAUGUAAAGUUUAUAAUUUGUUUGGUUAAAUAAUUAGUUCAAAGAGGCGUAUGUAUUUUAAAUAUGUUUGCACUUUAUAGGCGGAGAGUGACUGUGUUUUAAUGUGCAUUGUUUUCUUAUGUUGGCUUUUGGAGUCACAGGUUAUUUUGUAGCAUUAUUACUGUAACAAAUCAGUGUUGAAACAAGAUUUGUUACAAGUGAUGUAAGCUUUUUUUAUGCACACAUAAGCUCUGGUAAGGUCAGCUAUCUCUGUUGAUAAAAUAUUCUACACGGUCUGUACCUCCAACCAUUUACAUUGUUGCACAUGUAAAGUUUUGCACAGUUUUGUCAAGUAAAUAUUUUGCCCAAAGAGUCUUAUUUAUUUUAAUUUUGUUGGCACUUUAUAAAGUGACUGUUUUAGAAUAAGGAUUUUCUUUUGGAUGUAACCUACUUUGGGAAUUUACUAAUUAUUUUGGCAUUAUUUAACAGUUCACUUUACAAUGUUAAAACAAGAUUUGCUGGUAUGUGAGGAGGGAUGUGACUUUUGUUUAUACCUGGGAGUUCAGGUUUCUCUGUUGCUGAGAAUACUACAGUAACUUACUACACUGUGGCACAUGUGACAAGUUUUGUCAAGUAAAUGUGUUGCCCCAAACAGGCUUAUUUAUUGUAAUUUUGAUGGCACUUUAUACAGAAAGUGCAUUGUCUUUUUUGUAUGUACUGUAUAUCAUACCUUGGAAGGUUGUUUUGAGGUUAGAAUAAAGUAUGGUAGUUUUCAA